CUGUAUAGGGGCGCAUAUCAGGAUGAGCUUCCCGAGUCCUUCUUUCCCCUCCGCUCAUGAUCUCUUUCUCUCUCCCCUACCCAUCUAUGCAAGAAUUGUUUAGCCUAAAUGCUUCUAUAUGUUGUAUGUAUUCUUAGAUGUACUUGAUCUAUUGUGAAUCUUGUGAUCACAGAACUUCCUGAAUCCGACGCUGUCAAUCGGGCCGCAGAGAGGAAGCGUGGUGGAGAUGAGAUGGGGACAGAGGAUCCUGCAGCGAUGUUGUUUGUUUGUUCUCCUGCUCAAGGUUUGCUAUCAAGCUCUCAAAAAGAAAAAAACAACUUUACUCUGUUUUCUGGAGAACCUUCCCGUAGAGUCACUACCUCAACAGAGACAAAUAUGCGAUCAAGGAUAUAUUCGAUGGAUUUUCAAGCAAAACUUGGAGGCUAUUUUUGCAGAUAGUUUGGUGCUCUCAUGGUUAUUUUGUAGAGAUUGUCCCUUUGUUCAUUUCUUGGUAACCGUCUACUGCAGCUCAGCUACUGUCCAGCAGCUAACCUUAUGGCAUGCACUUUCUAAUAAAAAUUUGGCAAUCUACUUGAGAAGCACAACCCUCUUGAUCCUACUAGGAACAUCAAAACCAAAUGGGAUAUCAUUGAGUGGACUUCAGAUGGGUCUUGCCAAGAUCUGAGGAUGAAGGGAAGAAGAAUUUAACUAAACAGUGAAGAAGAUCAAGGAGAAGGAUGGCAGAAGUGAGUUCAAAAGGGAGAUCAUCUACAGCACUGGCAGAUCAGCGGGACAAGGGCAAUCAGUAGAGAGAUAGGGCAAAAGGGAGAUCUUUAUGCCACAUAAACUUGUAGAUCAACGUGAGGAGGACAAUCGGUAGAGAGGAUAGGGCACAAGGGAGAUCUGUAUGCCGCCUAUAGAUCAGCAUGUACCUUGGUCACGUUCUGGCAACAAGGAGGAUGAUCAAGAAGGAUUGGGGAACACCAGCAAAAAAAGUACUGGGGAAGACGGGCGGGACGAAGGCUUGGAGAUCGUUGUUUGGCGCAGUGUUGAUUGCUGGCUGGCCGACUGCGGUGUGCUACCAGCGAUGAGAUCCAGGAGGAGGUGGCGGCGGACAGGGAGACUAGGUAGGGAUGAACUGCCGAUUAAGAUGCAGAGCUGCUGUUUUUAUCAUGUUGUUCUUAUCCUGCUCACUAUGAUAUUUGUGGAAAAUAUUUGCACUAUGGUUUGGUUAAGAUACAGAGCUACUAUUUUUAUUCUGCAUUACCUCGUGGGUCUCAUUAUAUGGAUUAAGUACAAGGCAUCUGUGGUUCAAAAGUUUUUAGUAACUUGUGUUUAUCUUUACUGUCUGGUGUCGAAUUGA
Molecule: ribosomal RNA, 1342 nt
Filed under: Triticum aestivum (bread wheat)
Lineage: Eukaryota; Viridiplantae; Streptophyta; Magnoliopsida; Poales; Poaceae
Description: partial small subunit ribosomal RNA
Source: RNAcentral